RNAcentral lists this ribosomal RNA (425 nucleotides) under uncultured bacterium. RNAcentral's name for it is "partial 16S ribosomal RNA". It matches the Rfam family "Bacterial small subunit ribosomal RNA", at positions 354 to 796 of the family's 1533-position model. The record is from RNAcentral.
GUGGGGAAUCUUGCGCAAUGGGCGAAAGCCUGACGCAGCCAUGCCGCGUGGGUGAAGAAGGUCUUCGGAUCGUAAAGCCCUUUCGACAGGGACGAUGAUGACGGUACCUGUAGAAGAAGCCCCGGCUAACUUCGUGCCAGCAGCCGCGGUAAUACGAAGGGGGCUAGCGUUACUCGGAAUUACUGGGCGUAAAGGGCGCGUAGGCGGCUCUGUUAGUCAGGCGUGAAAUUCCUGGGCUUAACCUGGGGACUGCGCUUGAUACUGCAGGGCUUGAGGCCGAGAGAGGGUGGUGGAAUUCCCAGUGUAGAGGUGAAAUUCGUAGAUAUUGGGAAGAACACCGGUGGCGAAGGCGACCACCUGGCUCGGUUCUGACGCUGAGGCGCGACAGCGUGGGGAGCAAACAGGAUUAGAUACCCUGGUAGUCC